AGACGCCACAUGCGACGACGGGUAGCCGGCCUGAGAGGGUGACCGGCCACACUGGGACUGAGACACGGCCCAGACUCCUACGGGAGGCAGCAGUGGGGAAUAUUGCACAAUGGGCGAAAGCCUGAUGCAGCGACGCCGCGUGAGGGAUGACGGCCUUCGGGUUGUAAACCUCUUUCAGCAGGGACGAAGCGAAAGUGACGGUACCUGCAGAAGAAGCGCCGGCUAACUACGUGCAGCAGCCGCGG
This 245-nucleotide ribosomal RNA is filed under the name uncultured bacterium. RNAcentral's name for it is "partial 16S ribosomal RNA". It matches the Rfam family "Bacterial small subunit ribosomal RNA", at positions 262 to 520 of the family's 1533-position model. The record is from RNAcentral.